GUCGACGGUACAGGGUGCUUGCACCGCUGACGAGUGGCGAACGGGUGAGUAAUGCAUCGGAAUGUACCGUGUAAUGGGGGAUAGCUCGGCGAAAGCCGGAUUAAUACCGCAUACGCCCUGAGGGGGAAAGUGGGGGACCGUAAGGCCUCACGUUAUACGAGCAGCCGAUGUCUGAUUAGCUAGUUGGUGAGGUAAAGGCUCACCAAGGCGUCGAUCAGUAGCGGGUCUGAGAGGAUGAUCCGCCACACUGGGACUGAGACACGGCCCAGACUCCUACGGGAGGCAGCAGUGGGGAAUUUUGGACAAUGGGCGCAAGCCUGAUCCAGCCAUGCCGCGUGUCUGAAGAAGGCCUUCGGGUUGUAAAGGACUUUUGUCCGGGAGCAAAUCCUAGUGGUUAAUAACCGCUGGGUCUGAGAGUACCGGAAGAAUAAGCACCGGCUAACUACGUGCCAGCAGCCGCGGUAAUACGUAGGGUGC
Molecule: ribosomal RNA, 477 nt
Filed under: Chromobacterium violaceum
Lineage: Bacteria; Pseudomonadati; Pseudomonadota; Betaproteobacteria; Neisseriales; Chromobacteriaceae
Description: bacterial SSU rRNA
Rfam family: Bacterial small subunit ribosomal RNA
Source: RNAcentral